UAUUUAUAUGUACGCGGUAGAGGAGCGUUCCGUAAGCCGUUGAAGGUGGAUUGAGAAGUCUGCUGGAGGUAUCGGAAGUGCGAAUGCUGACAUGAGUAACGAUAAUGCGGGUGAAAAACCCGCACGCCGAAAGCCCAAGGUUUCCUUGCGCAACGUUAAUCGGCGUAGGGUGAGUCGGCCCCUAAGGCGAGGACGAAAGUCGUAGUCGAUGGGAAGCAGGUUAAUAUUCCUGCACCUCGCGUAAGUGCGAUGGAGGGACGGAGAAGGUUAGGUGUACCCGGCGUUGGUUGUCCGGGGGAAAGGCGGUAGGUUUGGAUCUUUGGCAAAUCCGGGAUCCUUCAAGACCGAGCACCGAGACGAGUCUUUAAGACAAAGUCACUGAUACCACGCUUCCAGGAAAAGCUCCUAAGCUUCAGCUUACGCAGACCGUACCGUAAACCGACACAGGUGGGUAGGAUGAGAAUUCUCAGGCGCUUGAGAGAACUCGGGUGAAGGAACUAGGCAACAUGGCACCGUAACUUCGGGAGAAGGUGCGCCCUUUUUGGUGGCUCAUGCGAGCUAUAGCUGAAGAGGGCCGCAGAAACCAGGCCGCUGCGACUGUUUAUCAAAAACACAGCACUCUGCAAACACGAAAGUGGACGUAUAGGGUGUGACGCCUGCCCGGUGCUGGAAGGUUAAUUGAUGGGGUCAGCCGCAAGGCGAAGCUCUUGAUCGAAGCCCCAGUAAACGGCGGC
This 734-nucleotide ribosomal RNA is filed under the name Listeria monocytogenes. Its description in RNAcentral is "bacterial LSU rRNA". It matches the Rfam family "Bacterial large subunit ribosomal RNA", at positions 1211 to 1934 of the family's 2925-position model. Lineage: Bacteria; Bacillati; Bacillota; Bacilli; Caryophanales; Listeriaceae. The record is from RNAcentral.